UGCGAGUGAUUUGACAAGAAA
This 21-nucleotide non-coding RNA is filed under the name Caenorhabditis elegans. Lineage: Eukaryota; Metazoa; Nematoda; Chromadorea; Rhabditida; Rhabditidae. The record is from RNAcentral.